CACCAGGUCGCCAUCCAUACGCUCUGGAACAUCCGCAUCGUGGUGCUGGCCAAGCCUGAGCAUGAGAACCGGAUCAGCCACAUCUGUACUGACAACGUGAAGACAGGCAUUGCAAACACACUGGUUCCCAGGUGAUGUGCAGCUGCUGGUCCAGGGAACAUCCUUUGGGAACCACUGACCUGGAAUAGAUCAGAACGUUGGCAGAAAAAGGGAACAAGGGAGCCGUGGGGGUGUCGUUCAUGUUCAAUGGAACCUCUUUAGGGUUCGUCAACAGCCACUUGACUUCGGGAAGUGAAAAGAAACUCAGGCGAAACCAAAACUAUAUGAACAUUCUCCGGUUCCUGGCCCUGGGCGACAAGAAGCUGAGUCCCUUUAACAUCACUCACCGCUUCACGCACCUCUUCUGGUUUGGGGAUCUUAACUACCGUGUGGAUCUGCCUACCUGGGAGGCAGAAACCAUCAUCCAGAAAAUCAAGCAGCAGCAGUACGCAGACCUCCUGUCCCACGACCAGCUGCUCACAGAGAGG
This 527-nucleotide small RNA is filed under the name Pongo abelii (Sumatran orangutan). RNAcentral describes it as "processed transcript". The record is from RNAcentral. Lineage: Eukaryota; Metazoa; Chordata; Mammalia; Primates; Hominidae.